Molecule: ribosomal RNA, 253 nt
Filed under: uncultured bacterium
Lineage: Bacteria
Description: partial 16S ribosomal RNA
Rfam family: Bacterial small subunit ribosomal RNA
Source: RNAcentral
UACGGGGGGGGCAAGCGUUGUUCGGAAUUACUGGGCGUAAAGGGCUCGUAGGCGGCCAACUAAGUCGGAUGUGAAAUCCCCAGGCUCAACCUGGGAACUGCGUCCGAUACUGGAUGGCUUGAAUUCGGGAGAGGGAUGCAGAAUUCCAGGUGUAGCGGUGAAAUGCGUAGAUAUCUGGAGGAAUACCGGUGGCGAAGGCGGCAUCCUGGACCGACAUUGACGCUGAUGAGCGAAAGUGUGGGGAGCGAACAGG